AGAAUCAACGCUGGCGGCGUGCCUAACACAUGCAAGUCGAACGAGAAAGUGGUAGCAAUACCAUGAGUAAAGUGGCGCACGGGUGAGUAACACGUGACUAACCUACCCUUGAGUGGGGGAUAACUGAGGGAAACCUUAGCUAAUACCGCAUAAUACCCACGGGUCAAAGGAGCAAUUCGCUCGAGGAGGGGGUCGCGGCCGAUUAGUUAGUUGGCGGGGUAAUGGCCCACCAAGACGAUGAUCGGUAUCCGGCCUGAGAGGGCGCACGGACACACUGGAACUGAAACACGGUCCAGACUCCUACGGGAGGCAGCAGUGGGAAUUUUGCGCAAUGGGGGAAACCCUGACGCAGCAACGCCGCGUGGAGGAUGAAGUCCUUCGGGACGUAAACUCCUUUCGAUCGGGACGAUUAUGACGGUACCGGAAGAAGAAGCCCCGGCUAACUUCGCGCCAGCAGCCGC
This 461-nucleotide ribosomal RNA is filed under the name uncultured bacterium. Its description in RNAcentral is "SSU rRNA". It matches the Rfam family "Bacterial small subunit ribosomal RNA", at positions 26 to 518 of the family's 1533-position model. The record is from RNAcentral.